ACGGGAGGCAGCAGUGAGGAAUAUUAGGCAAUGGGGGAAACUCUGACGCAGUGACGCCGCGUAUAGGAAGAAGGUUUUCGGAUUGUAAACUACUGUCGAUAGGGAAGAAAAAGGACAGUACCUAUCAAGAAAGCUCCGGCUAACUACGUGCCAGCAGCCGCGGUAAUACGUAGGGAGCAAGCGUUAUCCGGAUUUAUUGGGUGUAAAGGGUGCGUAGACGGGAAGUUAAGUUAGUUGUGAAAUCCCUCGGCUCAACUGAGGAACUGCAUCUAAAACUGACAUUCUUGAGUGCAGGAGAGGAAAGUGGAAUUCCUAGUGUAGCGGUGAAAUGCGUAGAUAUUAGGAGGAACACCAGUGGCGAAGGCGGCUUUCUGGACUGUAACUGACGUUGAGGCACGAAAGUGUGGGGAGCAAACAGGAUUAGAUACCCUGGUA
This 435-nucleotide ribosomal RNA is filed under the name uncultured Oscillospiraceae bacterium. RNAcentral's name for it is "bacterial SSU rRNA". It matches the Rfam family "Bacterial small subunit ribosomal RNA", at positions 341 to 792 of the family's 1533-position model. The record is from RNAcentral. Lineage: Bacteria; Bacillati; Bacillota; Clostridia; Eubacteriales; Oscillospiraceae.